RNAcentral lists this ribosomal RNA (47 nucleotides) under Solanum americanum. RNAcentral describes it as "partial 18S ribosomal RNA". It matches the Rfam family "Eukaryotic small subunit ribosomal RNA", at positions 1785 to 1831 of the family's 1831-position model. Lineage: Eukaryota; Viridiplantae; Streptophyta; Magnoliopsida; Solanales; Solanaceae. The record is from RNAcentral.
GGAGUCGUAACAAGGUUUCCGUAGGUGAACCUGCGGAAGGAUCAUUG